Non-coding RNA from Heterocephalus glaber (naked mole-rat), 8097 nucleotides. Lineage: Eukaryota; Metazoa; Chordata; Mammalia; Rodentia; Bathyergidae. The record is from RefSeq and is a predicted model, not a curated record.
UGGGGGCAGAGGAGGGCUGGGGUCCUGCGGAGCCCCGGAUCCAGCCCGGGCAAAGACUCCUCUCCGCCCCGUGUGUCUGCGGCUGGUCUCCACCCGCUCACCAGGAGAAAGAAGGGUGCAGGGGGCGAGGUCAGAACACAGCCUGCUUUCCUGUUCAGCCCUAAAUUACAAAGACAAACGCUGCUGGGCGCGGUGGUGCACACCGGUCAUCCCAGCACCAGGGGAGGCUGAGGCAGGAGGAUCGCCACGAAUUCAAAGCCAGCUGAACUUCGCAGUGACACUGUCACCAAACAAACUGACCAAAAACCCUUCUGCUCCGGAGACAGAUGCCACAUCUGGUUCCUUCCAUGAACCAAAGCAAGUCAAGGGUCCAAGUCCCAAAUCGAAGGGGUGAAUGUUGCCUUGGGAGAGAAAAUGAGCAUUUGUGACCAGAUGGUGCAAUCUGUCACAGGGAGUGCUGGUGCCUGGAGUGGAGCCAGGGAGCCCUGGGAGCAUGGGGCUGCCCAGGACAGAGCACCCAGCCCUCCACCUCCUGCGUCCCCACUCUGUCCUCCUGCGCCUGCGCCCUGGCUUCCACUUGGACCUCAAGGCCCUUUCCGUUUCCUGGACCGGCUGGAGGGCGGUCCGCAGAGGCACAGGGUGGUCACGUGCUCAUCAUCGGUGUCAUGUCAAGGAUUCUCAAAUUGCUGAGAAUGUGCCACAGGGCAUUUCUUAAAAACCAGCAACUUCUCGUUCCCAAAGGACCUAGGAAAAAUUCCAGGCUAAACUUAAAAUGAGGAAAAAAUCAAGAUGGCCAUAAAUCUUCCAUGAGAUCACACUGUAAAUCUAGGGAAACCCUUUCGGGUGACAUAAGGCACAACCCCUAACAGCUAAUAGUCUUGAGACUGUUUGCGUCUGACCGUGCGGGUCCCUAAGUGCUUUCCAUUCUGGCAUCACCAUUUAUCUUGCGAUAUUUACUUUAUUGUGGGAAGUUGCAAUGUGUUUUUUCUCAUUCCCAGGAAGUCCGUGAUAAAAUAAACUCACCAGAGUAAAACAAAUGCCAUCUUAUUAACAAGCUUCGCCUUGGAAGAGGGUGGAGGGACGCCAGCCCAGCCAGAGGUGCAGAGUUCUGUAUUCUCCAUCAAUCUGGAGUCGAGGUCCUCUCCAGCGUGGGUUCAUGUGUCCUCACAGUGAAGCUGAUAUAUGACCUAUACCUUUGCUUGCACUCUGCCUCCGUGGUCUGCGUGGGACAGGACCCCAGUGUUCUGGGAGCACCACGAGCACAAGCUGAGCGCCUGGGACAUCUGGGAGCCUGUCCUCAUUCUCUCGUGGCCUUGGCCCACAGUGGCGAGGAGCCCUCCUGUGGGUCCCAUCCCAUCAGAAUCCACUCAGACUGUGAGCCCAGCCGGGCCAGCCCCUCCCUUGGCUUGGCUGAGGUUGCCAUCUAGGUCCUCCCACUUGCAUGUGAGGAGGAGAGGCCCAGAGUCCAAGCUCUGGCCCAGAUUUGCUUAGAAGCCCUGCUUCAUGGGAGUCUUAGGGAUUGUUGUGCUUUUAGAAGGACAUUUCAUUUUUGUUAGGUAUUUGUUCCUUGUGGGUGUCUUCCUUAGUUAAGAAUGCUAGAGGAGAGGGCAAACUUGGGAGUCAUAUGGGGUGCUAAGCUUCAUUGUUUAGGUUUAAUGUCAUUCUCUAGUUCCAUCCCUGCACAAAUGUAAUGAAAAGACUUAGUGUUGAAAGAACCGGGUUCUAGUCCUAGCCUUGCCACUCAUUCAGCUCUGCAGUGAAGUGAGAGGAAAUCUCAGUGUCUCUGAAUAUCUGUUUUCCAUUAUCAGAUGAGAUAUAGUAGCAGCUAACAUAAACCACUAUCUCUAUUUUUAGUCAGAAAGGAAACGAGACUCUCAUAAAAUCUGAAUGGCUAGAGGAGCAGGCUGGGCCUUCCACAAUGACUUCCAGCCCCACAACAUGGAAGCAGCCCUCUGCCCCAGUCAGGAAGCAGGGAACAGGAAGCGGAUGCAGCAACAGAUGGAUCCAGGAACAUCCUGUCCCACCUACCACCCAGGGAUGAGGGAAGCCAUGGCAGUCAUUAUGUUUUAGAUCUGAAACAUCCCCCAAAGCCUUCCGUGUUCAGCGGUAGGGCUUUUAAAAGGUGAUUGGAUCACAAGGGUUCUAUUUUUUAUCUGUGGAUUAAUCAGUCCAUUGAUAGAUUCAUAAUUUGGUGGCAUUGGAAGGAGGUGAUAGAAACUUGGAGGUGGGGCCAGGUUAAAGGAUGUGGGUGCUGGCUGGAGGUGUAACCCUGGGGACCAAGUCUUGUCUCUGGUCCCUUCCCCUCUAGCUUUCCCCCUCCCUGCUUCUGGCUGCUCUAAAGUGAGUGGCUUCCCUCCACCAUGCCCCUCCACCACGUUUCUGCCCCAACACAGGCCUCCUAUGGCAAUGCGCCAUACACCAACACCCCUAAACCGUGAGCCCCAAUAGCUAUUUCCUCCUUAGGUUGUUCACAGCUAUUUGGUCACAAUGAUGAAAAACUGAGUGAUACAGCAAUAUUGCCUCCAGAACUGAGCCUCUGUUUCCAGAUCCACAGCUGCGAUUAUGGGCCCUCCACUCUGUCUCUUGCUCCUCAUGUUGGCAAUUAGAUUCAAGGACCUCAGUCUCUGUUCCUACAGGGAAACCAUCAGAAGGACAAGAGUGAGACCUUUAUCUUCACUGUGCGUUCUACACCUCCUACCGUUGUCCGUGUCCUAGCAAGGGAUGAAGUGCCUUUGGCACAACUGACCUGGCUCUUAACUACUGCACAGAGAGAGGAACAGUUCCCAUUUCAUACUGCUCUACACAGAGUACAUUUAUUUUUCUUUAUCUGCUUUCCCAUUGCUGAGCCACAAUACCUGACCCCCACCCACAGCUUGAGGAGAGGUUUAAUUUGCCUCCCGGUUUCAGAGGCUUCAGCCCGAGGUCGACUGACGCUGAGGUAGAGAUGGAGGCAGAGCAAAGCUGCUCAGUCCACGGCACAGUGAAGUUUAACCCCAUAUCACACCAACCAAACUUCCCUGCUGGUCAGCCGUGCUUUCUAGAUUGAAUACUCGAGGUUAGUAUCUCUAAUCCCUCCUCUUCCCUCUGGUAAACUCAUACAUCCCUCAAAACAGCAGUACAGUUUUCGCCUUUUUUAUGAAGCUCUGAAUCUCCUGGUCAGUUGGCCCUGUUUGCCCCUGGGGCACCGUGUGCUGUCUGAUGGUGGACCUUACUGCACCUGGCGACGUACUCUGUCUGUGCCUCCUCUUAGAAUGACUAUUUUGAAGACAGACCCAUAUCAUGAAUACGUGAAUACUUGAGGACUUAUCCUAACAGUCUUCAGACUCCUAGAGAGAACAUUUAAAAAGCAUGCUGGAAUCAAAAUGUAGCGCCAUACGAGACUUGAAUUAGCUCCAUAUAUUAUACAGUAUAAGCCAUGUUUGUGCUUGUCCCUAGGGUAACUAGUACCAAUUUUUUUUUAUUAUGAUGAAAACCAUGACCCUACUGCUGCUGGUCAGUUAUCCAUCCUCCUCCUGUCUGAUUCACUCCCUUUCUUUGGGAAUCCAUUCUUUCCACUCCCACAGGUGUGUUUUUCCCACUGGCGUCGGGGCUGGAAACGGUGGUUACUUCCUAGUAACCAGCUCCCUUCUCCGUGGUGAUCAGAACCCUGGUUUGCAGCCAGCCGUUGUCAUCAGCCUUCACCCUACAGCGGUCUAGCAGAGAGGCAAAGCUAUGCUACUAUGCCAGCGAGACAGAGGAAAGUGGAGUGUGGGUGAGCAGUCUAGGAAAUUUGCUUACAGGGAGAACUGAACCCCUCUGUUCUUCAUUUUAUAACUGGAAACACAGGUGUGGCUGUAGCUCUAGCAGUUGUCUUGGAUCAUAAUAUAGUUAGUGAAAAGGUGAGUGGAAUUCGCAUCCUUAAUCUGGUAGGGUGGUGUCACCCUACCAGCCCUAGACUGUCUGCUUGCAGAGUUUCCUCUUGUUUUAUAGCCGAGACUAAGAUUGAAACCACAGUUUGCUGAGUUUUCUCUCAGGUGGCCACACCUAAGCCCAGCUGCUCGAGCUCUUCACUGGUUCAGCAGUGAUUUGACUCAGCAUGUGUCAGACUUCAUGUUUUUGAGGAGUACACAUACUAAGUUUCUGGAGGGAGGCCUGGCCCGAGCUGUGGGGACAGAAGAGGGCACCUGGUCUCUUCCUGGGGUCAGUAGAAUCUCUUCAGGCUGGGCAGAUACCAUGGCCCUCAAGUGAGCACCUAGCCUUGAGGCUGGAAGGUAGUGACUGGGACUGGGGGCACACCCUCCACUCACGGGUUUCUCCUGGGGCCCAGGGCAAGGACACUCCAACCCUAUUUGCUGAGACCUUGGCUGCCUCUAAGGUUCCUCUCAGCCAAGAGGAGUACAUGGAAAUGUGACUCCUCACCUAGACAUGCUGGGCCAGAAGAUGCCAUCUUCUGGAAUACGGUGACCCUGGAGUCAUGCACAGUAGGGUGGGAGCUAGAGAAUCUAAGAUGUUGAUGUAGAAGAGAACUUGGAGACGCUUUUUCCAGCAUUUGGAACAUGAGGAAGAGUGGGUUUCAGAAGUAGGCUGACAAAACUGGAAGGGAACAGGGUCGGACAAUGGUCUGGGAAUUGCAUUUUCCAGUUUGAUGCUCCUUCUUCAGCAUGGCAUCUGAUACUGUCUGUUGUAGUGGUCCUGAUUCCUAAAGGAGCAGAAGGCAAGAUAGGAUUGAACUCACAAGGAUUUUCUUAGGGGAAAUACUUAUAUUAGAGAAAAUAGGACAGGAACCAGAUUGGCUGGAGGCAGUCACCCAUUGGCAGGCCAUGACUGGAGUCUGGCCCUGAGUGCAUCUGAAGAAAGACCUGGUUGGUCUGUUAUCCAGUCUGUGAACCUCCGUUGUCCAUAAGAAGAACCCUAUGUCUUGUAGAAAGAAGUUGGCUUUUGUGUAUCUGCUGCUGGAGCAGCCAAUGGGAAGAGCGGUCUCAUCACAGGUUCGGCACCAGAUUUCAGAGCAGAUUUGUCAGUUAGCUAGACGUUUGCAAAGUGUGUUCUCAGGCCACCACACCUGGCAUUGUUCCACUGUCAAGCCUUUCAUUCCCUGUGAUGUAAUUCAUACUGCGUGCAUCCGGUUCAGCGUUUGCAUAGACAAGUAGGCAGAUAGGAUGGUAUGAAGUUUCUAGUAUGUGUUGGGACUGAUGUGGCAAAGUCUUCCAUUUCUUACAGCUUAACUGUAGCUUUUGAAGCAUGUGGUUGAGGAGCUGAGGUGUCAUUUGAUGAAGAGUGGCCAGGCCAUUGAACCCAAUAGACAUGGCCCUAAAUGUGAGCCACAGAAUCAAAGCAACGGCACCACCUGUCUUUUCUGCAUUUGUAUGAGGACAGAUGAAGAAGGCUGCUGGUUAAGUUCAUUAACAUUGUCUAGAAAAUUGUAUUGAGAUCUUAAGCAAAUUGCAACUAUAAACAUGUGACUCUUUGUUUGUUUGCUUGUGUUUUGGGGAUUGAACUUGAGUCCUUGUGCUUUUGAGGCAGGCUGUGGAACCACUGAGCUAAAUUCCCGGCCCAGUAACUCUUGACAAAGCUUCCUUCCUUGGUCAAACUGCAAUCAGGCUCUGGAACCUUUUCCUAAGCCCGUCCGUGCACUUUCCUAUGAAAUCCAGUUUCAGCAAGAAGCCUGCCGAGUCAGUUUAGCAGGAACCGCUGUCUGUAAUAGCCGGUCAAUAUUCCAUCAGGAUCCUCACCUGCUACCAUAUCCAGGUGACACUGACUGCACUACUCUGCCUUCAGCAAGAAUCCUGGUCAGAUGGUUCAGCCCGACUCCCCCUUAACUGGGCGUCUCCUCUUAGUGAUUUUCCAUGCAUGGACCCUGCCCUGCGCCUUGGCUAAAAAUCCCCACUUGCCUAUGCUGUUUUUGGAGUUGAGCCCAGUCUUGCUCAGUUCAGAAUCUCACCGCUGUGGUCCUUAUGUUUAUCCCAGUGGUCCGGAAUAGUCUGCUUUACCGGGUGUACUCAGUGUCAUCGGACAACUGCUUCUCAAAUGCUCUUUGUCACUGGAUUUUCAGGUAUUUUGGUGCUCAUUCCUGUCAGCCAGGUGGGGACGUAACCCUGAGCCUCACAUGUGACGAGCAGAGGCACCAGAGCGCCCAGCGUGACUGGAGGCACCCAGCUUCCUAGGGCUCCGUGGGCCCCUCCUCUGCCCAGAGAACCCCCACAUUCACCACAUUCUCCAGGACCGUCGAAGCCCAGGCUGGCCUCAAACCCACGGUGAUCCUCCCACCUCAGCCUCCAGAAUGCUGGUUAUGGGUGUGUGCCACUACACCCAGUGAGAUUUCUUCAUAGAAGAACACUGCUGGCCUUGAACUCAUUAUGUAGCCCACAUGGCCUCAAACUCAUGGAAAUCCUGCUGCCUCAGCCUUCCGAGUGCUGAUAGUACAGUGCUGGAGGCUGGAAGUUCAAGAUCAAGGUGCAAGUAGGACCAGGUUCCUCUGAGUCCUGGCUUCUUGGGUUGCAGGUGGUCACCUUCCUGCUGCCUGUAUUGUUUAAAGAAUGAAGCAACAACUCCACUAUGCAGGAAGGUGCUUUGGCAUUGGGUUCUUUGUGGGCAGAGUGGCCUCUCUCUUUUCUAUCAGGUAGAUGGUCCUGUCACCCACACUGGCUUCUUACUCUGUUGUGACCCUUUUUCAAUUUCAACACAGAAGACUUCCCCAUCCUUGAUUCCCAGGGCCCGGCACCGUGUGACUUCUGGCUCUUCCCCGAAGCAGGAUGACAAUGCAAGGUAAACAUUCUGAAUCAACUCAGGACAUCAAGGCAGCUAUAACAACACAACUCAAGACAUCCAUGAAAGAGGACUCCAGAACUGCUUCAGAAAGUGGUUCUAAGGAAUGAAAAACACUAACCCUGCAAUCCUUAUCACCAAGAACUGUGCACCCUAGUGACAUGUAAAGUUUCCUUCAACACUUUUAGGGUCAAGGUUCUAGCAAACAAAAAGGACAAAGAAAGAAAAGUAGAGCAAAAGAUGUUGUUUCUGUUGCUAAGAUUUCAGGAGAAGGGAUCAAACUGAGGACCUUGUGCUCGCGAGGAUCACACUGAACAGAGCAAGGAGCCCCCCGAAGUGCCUGCCCACUGCUUGUGCCCACCUCUGCCAGUCCAUCUUGGUCCCACUGAGGCUCCAGUGCACUUCAUCCUCAUGGGAGAGCCAACUACUCCUGGUCUAGGGUGUGGAUGUUUGAGCAGACCAUCUUCCUUAGAAGCUCAGAGUGUGGUGGGGAAGUUCAUGGUUAUAGCAGGGUAGAAGUUGAAAGAGCCUCUGAGGCUGGCUUUGGAAAGGGAAGAUGAGCUGUGAAAUAGUCUACAAGAAUGGCCAUGGUGGCCAGAAUGAGAAGUAUUGUGAGAGUCACGUGGGACUUUGAACAUUACCGUGUGACACAUGGAACUACUGAGCACUUGCUAAGGACACCCGGUUUACCUUCUCCAUCUCGUUUAACUCUUUCAAGGUACCGUGAAGAACUCCCAUUUCACAGAUGAGGAAACGGAGGCAGGAAGAGCAUGAGUCAUGUGGCCAAGGUUUCAGAUGAUACAUGGCAGAGCCAGGACCAGGGAUUGAGUCCACACAGACAGAGUGUGAGCUCCAAGUCCCGCUUCUCUUCAGCGUUAGAAUGGAGAAAUGAGAGAGACACACGUGGGACCACUACAUGCCUCUGCUCAAGAAUUGUGCAUUGCAACUGGGGAUGCCAGAGCUUUCCCGGUGAAAACAUCACCAUUUAAAAAUGCCAUCAUCCAAAUGUAUUUCCUGCUCAUUGGGGCCAAGCAAGAACAAUUAUGUGGUUCUACAGCACCAUGGGAACCCAACUCUCGCUGUGUUUCUGGCCAGCAUGAACAAGCUCUAUGGCCUUUCCUGUCUCCAAAAAACAAAAGCCUACAUGCAAGAAUUCUUUUGUUUGGAGACAGGAUCUUGCUCUGUAGCUCAGUCUGGCCACAAACUCGUGGCAAUCCUCCUGCCUCAGCCUCACAAGUGCUGGGAUUACAGGCCUGUGCCACCAGCCUGGCUUCGUGCAAGAAUUCUUAUUCAUAAGCUACAGUUUAUAAAGUUUUAUCAAGUGCCAACAUUAAAACCCAAUUUACUUAUUUC